UUUAAAUACCAUUAAGAACUAUCCUUUGUUCUAAAGCCGGAACAGUUGCAAAAGCAAGCAAUUAAAACCAACACCAAAGCUGGUCUGGGACUCUGGGUUUUGGUUUUGGUUUUGGUUUUGGUUGCACAUAAAUAAAAAAAAUAAAAAUCACCCCAAAACUUUCACUGAUACCACUGUGUUCACAUGGCAAAGAUCACAGCCAUAACUACAAACAUGUUCCCUACAUUGGCCCUAUUAGCAACUCUACUCUUCCUCUCCCCAUCACCUUCAAAUGCUCAAUACAAACCACCUCUUUAUGUCUUCGGCGAUUCACUCUACGACGAUGGUAUGACUUUAUACAACGGCGUUAAAGGAGCUGGUGCCGAGUUUUGGCCUUACGGCGAAACUUACUUCAAAAAGCCUUCUGGCCGAUACUCCGAUGGCCGCCUUAUCCCCGAUUUCGUAGCUCAAUUCGCGGGGUUGCCAUUUUUGCAACCCUAUUUGUUACCGGGGAUAAAGGAUUUCACUAGAGGAAUCAAUUUCGCUUCAGCUGGUGCUUGUGUUCUUGUUGAACUUCGUCCUCAAACAAUAAAUUUGAAGAGGCAAGUAGAUUAUUUUGUCCAAAUGGUGCAAAAAUUGAAGCAACAAGUUGGGGAAGGAACAGCUAAUCAGCUGUUAUCUGAAGCUGUAUACUUGUUUAACAUAGCUGGAAAUGACUAUGUUAACCUUCUACAGAAGAAUGUUAAAAAACUUCCUGUCUCCAAUUUUAAAAGGAACCAACGGAUCAACAUGGUCAUUGGGAACCUCACUACCCAUAUUAAAACAAUCUAUGACCAAGGAGGAAGGAAAUUUGCAUUCCAAAACCUUGGUCCUCUUGGGUGCAUGCCAUCAAUGAAGUACAUGCUAAAUUUCAAAGGAACUUGCGCACCGGAGCCACAAGAGCUAGCCAAGUUGCACAAUGCUAAAUUUGCUGCACUAGCCAAGAGAUUACAAAGCCAACUACCAGGGUUCAAGUACUCCAUUUACGACUUCUACACAUCCUUAUACCUCCGUGUUAUAUAUGGAAGUAGCCGAUAUGGUUUCAGAGAAAGCCAAACAGCAUGUUGUGGAAGUGGAUCCUACAAUGGUGAUUUCACUUGCCAGAAGAAAGGCUAUACCUUCUCUGUUUGUAGUAAUCCUAGUGAAUAUUUGUGGUUUGACGCCGCGCACCCAACCGACAAGGCUAACCAGGCUUUCUCUAAAGAAUUCUGGAGUGGAGGAUCAAGCCUUGUAGCUCCUUACAAUUUGCAACAAUUAUUCGCCGCAAAAUGAUCGAUCAAAGUUUAUUUAUGAGGAUUUUUGGGAAAUCUAUAUAUACUCUUUACACUCAAUUGUGAUCAAAGAUAAAGGAGUGUUCGGGGCUAUAUUUAUUCUAUUGAUUAAUAUUAUUAAUUAAUUUCCGGUACAUCUUGUAUGAAUAUGAUGUAUUUAAAGGUUGAGGCCAAACCAGGCUAAGCUAGGUUGUAAUAAGCGAGGGGUGAUUGAAUACUUGUAAUCAGUAAUAAGUUAAAAAGAAAAUGCAAAUGUUAAUGAUA
Molecule: RNA transcript, 1553 nt
Organism: Spinacia oleracea (spinach)
Lineage: Eukaryota; Viridiplantae; Streptophyta; Magnoliopsida; Caryophyllales; Amaranthaceae
Gene name: GDSL lipase
Exons: 6
Source: RefSeq, a predicted model, not a curated record